CGCUCUGCCUAUUUGCAGCUGAAGGGAAGAAUUAGGCAGCUGCUCCUUCUUCCAGACUCCCAGAUCCUCAUCUUAUCUUCUGUGGCAGCAAACACUCCAGCCUCUGUGAACAAAACCUAUCCUUCACAGUUGUGGAUUGUACUGAUUCAUUCGCUGAUUACACUGGAGCGUGAAUGCAUUUCCAUAUCUGUGUUACUCUGGCCAGUUAUAUGCAUUUGAAGACUUUAUUGCAAAGAGAUUUGCUUUGUUUAAAGGAUUAAGCCUCAGGUGCUAUCUGUGUGAAGCCACAGACAAGAAAGAAGAGAGAGGAAAAAGGAAGCA
Bos indicus x Bos taurus (hybrid cattle) is the source of this 321-nucleotide long non-coding RNA. The record is from Ensembl. Lineage: Eukaryota; Metazoa; Chordata; Mammalia; Artiodactyla; Bovidae.